Molecule: transfer RNA, 82 nt
Filed under: Candidatus Daviesbacteria bacterium RIFCSPHIGHO2_01_FULL_41_45
Lineage: Bacteria; Candidatus Daviesiibacteriota
Also listed under: 3 other names
Description: tRNA-Leu
Rfam family: tRNA
About the family: Transfer RNA (tRNA) molecules are approximately 80 nucleotides in length. Their secondary structure includes four short double-helical elements and three loops (D, anti-codon, and T loops).
Source: RNAcentral
GCCGAAGUGGCGGAACUGGUAUACGCGCACGGUUCAGAACCGUGUCUCGCAAGAGUUGUGGGUUCAAAUCCCACCUUCGGUA